GAUGAACGCUGGCGGCGUGCCUAAUACAUGCAAGUCGAGCGAACAGACGAGGAGCUUGCUCCUUCGACGUUAGCGGCGGACGGGUGAGUAACACGUAGGUAACCUACCUAUAAGACUGGGAUAACUUCGGGAAACCGGAGCUAAUACCGGAUAAUAUUUCGAACCGCAUGGUUCGAUAGUGAAAGAUGGCUUUGCUAUCACUUAUAGAUGGACCUGCGCCGUAUUAGCUAGUUGGUAAGGUAACGGCUUACCAAGGCAACGAUACGUAGCCGACCUGAGAGGGCGAUCGGCCACACUGGAACUGAGACACGGCCCAGACUCCUACGGGAGGCAGCAGUAGGGAAUCUUCCGCAAUGGGCGAAAGCCUGACGGAGCAACGCCGCGUGAGUGAUGAAGGUCUUCGGAUCGUAAAACUCUGUUAUUAGGGAAGAACAAACGUGUAAGUAACUGUGCACGUCUUGACGGUACCUAAUCAGAAAGCCACGGCUAACUACGUG
This 497-nucleotide ribosomal RNA is filed under the name uncultured bacterium. RNAcentral describes it as "partial 16S ribosomal RNA". It matches the Rfam family "Bacterial small subunit ribosomal RNA", at positions 28 to 507 of the family's 1533-position model. The record is from RNAcentral.